RNAcentral lists this transfer RNA (70 nucleotides) under Prionace glauca (blue shark). RNAcentral describes it as "tRNA-Gln". It matches the Rfam family "tRNA". Rfam says of the family: Transfer RNA (tRNA) molecules are approximately 80 nucleotides in length. Their secondary structure includes four short double-helical elements and three loops (D, anti-codon, and T loops). The record is from RNAcentral. Lineage: Eukaryota; Metazoa; Chordata; Chondrichthyes; Carcharhiniformes; Carcharhinidae.
AGGGAGUAGUGUAAUGGAAACACGAAGGGUUUUGAUCUCUUGUAUGUAGGUUCGAAUCCUAUUUUUCUAG